GCUGGAAUGUUUGGCAAGAAGCCACCAUGAUGCCUCACAUAAGCGAAAUGCUGUUCAUGCUUCUGUAAAUCAGGGGAGCCAGCCAGCUUUGUUCUGACUCCAAGCCAUCCUAGGUUGUGCAGAAUUAAACCAUUGUUAUAAAAUCCAUGCCCUACCAUCUUUUCAGCAUGACUUACUCGCUUACAAGUUCUUGCCAAACGUGGCUUUUGCACCCAAUAGCAGAUGAGACUGGAGACCUAGCUGAUGACUCAUUUGUGUCUGUUUCUUUCCCUGUUAUCCUCAAGCAGGCUCUCCCAUCCCAUUUAGUAGAUUACCUUCCCACAGCCAGUAGACUCAGUAGCUGGGAAAUGCAGUUGCUGGUGCCAAAGAGACUAAGGGUGUCUACCUGGAAGAAACUCAAAGGCAGAAUUCCUGACUCAAAAGACGCAGCUUUUCAAACCAAAGUUCAGGACAGAAGAUAAGAACACUUGCUGCUCUUGCAGAGGACCAGAGCUUAGUGCCCAGUGCCCACAUCACACAGCUUACAGCCAUCUGUAACUCUAGCUCCAGGGGAUCUGAUACCUUUUCUGGUCUCCAUGGGUAUCCACAUGCAUGUGCAUGUGUGCAUUUUUAUGCACAUUGGCAAAUAUAUACAUACCAAUAAUGGUCCAUCCUUCUUAGAGAUCAGAAUUUGUGACCAUAGAAAUUCCAUUUUCAUGUGUAACAAACCGUAAACAAUUUUGAAGCUUCGCUUCACAAGCAGAAUCACUUUGCAAUGCUCCAAUAUGUAAAAAAAAAAAAAAAAAAA
This 787-nucleotide long non-coding RNA is filed under the name Rattus norvegicus (Norway rat). RNAcentral's name for it is "long non-coding RNA NONRATT019681". The record is from RNAcentral. Lineage: Eukaryota; Metazoa; Chordata; Mammalia; Rodentia; Muridae.